RNAcentral lists this transfer RNA (71 nucleotides) under Synodus macrops (triplecross lizardfish). Its description in RNAcentral is "tRNA-Gly". It matches the Rfam family "tRNA". From Rfam's summary of the family: Transfer RNA (tRNA) molecules are approximately 80 nucleotides in length. Their secondary structure includes four short double-helical elements and three loops (D, anti-codon, and T loops). The record is from RNAcentral. Lineage: Eukaryota; Metazoa; Chordata; Actinopteri; Aulopiformes; Synodontidae.
AUCUUUUUAGUACAAUAAAAGUAUGCUUGGCUUCCAACCAAGAGACCUUGGUUCAAACCCAAGAAAAGAUA